Molecule: transfer RNA, 68 nt
Filed under: Marmota monax (woodchuck)
Lineage: Eukaryota; Metazoa; Chordata; Mammalia; Rodentia; Sciuridae
Description: tRNA.Ala
Source: RNAcentral
GGUUUGUGUCUCAGCGGUAGAGUGUUCGCCUAGCAUGUGUGAGGCCCUGGGUUCGAUCCUCAGCACCA